UAGGGAAUCUUCCGCAAUGGACGCAAGUCUGACGGAGCAACGCCGCGUGAGUGAAGAAGGAUUUCGGUUCGUAAAACUCUGUUGUUAGAGAAGAACAGCGCAUAGAGUAACUGUUAUGCGUGUGACGGUAUCUAACCAGAAAGCCACGGCUAACUACGUGCCAGCAGCCGCGGUAAUACGUAGGUGGCAAGCGUUGUCCGGAUUUAUUGGGCGUAAAGCGAGCGCAGGCGGUCAAUUAAGUCUGAUGUGAAAGCCCCCGGCUCAACCGGGGAGGGUCAUUGGAAACUGGUUGACUUGAGUGCAGAAGAGGAGAGUGGAAUUCCAUGUGUAGCGGUGAAAUGCGUAGAUAUAUGGAGGAACACCAGUGGCGAAGGCGACUCUCUGGUCUGUAACUGACGAGGAGGCUCGAAAGCGUGGGUAGCAAACAGG
Molecule: ribosomal RNA, 429 nt
Filed under: Bacteroidota bacterium
Lineage: Bacteria; Pseudomonadati; Bacteroidota
Description: Bacteroidetes bacterium partial 16S ribosomal RNA
Rfam family: Bacterial small subunit ribosomal RNA
Source: RNAcentral